This 2903-nucleotide ribosomal RNA is filed under the name Escherichia coli. RNAcentral describes it as "23S ribosomal RNA". It matches the Rfam family "Bacterial large subunit ribosomal RNA". The record is from RNAcentral. Lineage: Bacteria; Pseudomonadati; Pseudomonadota; Gammaproteobacteria; Enterobacterales; Enterobacteriaceae. RNAcentral also lists the same sequence under 9 other names.
GGUUAAGCGACUAAGCGUACACGGUGGAUGCCCUGGCAGUCAGAGGCGAUGAAGGACGUGCUAAUCUGCGAUAAGCGUCGGUAAGGUGAUAUGAACCGUUAUAACCGGCGAUUUCCGAAUGGGGAAACCCAGUGUGAUUCGUCACACUAUCAUUAACUGAAUCCAUAGGUUAAUGAGGCGAACCGGGGGAACUGAAACAUCUAAGUACCCCGAGGAAAAGAAAUCAACCGAGAUUCCCCCAGUAGCGGCGAGCGAACGGGGAGCAGCCCAGAGCCUGAAUCAGUGUGUGUGUUAGUGGAAGCGUCUGGAAAGGCGCGCGAUACAGGGUGACAGCCCCGUACACAAAAAUGCACAUACUGUGAGCUCGAUGAGUAGGGCGGGACACGUGGUAUCCUGUCUGAAUAUGGGGGGACCAUCCUCCAAGGCUAAAUACUCCUGACUGACCGAUAGUGAACCAGUACCGUGAGGGAAAGGCGAAAAGAACCCCGGCGAGGGGAGUGAAAAAGAACCUGAAACCGUGUACGUACAAGCAGUGGGAGCCUCUUUUAUGGGGUGACUGCGUACCUUUUGUAUAAUGGGUCAGCGACUUAUAUUCUGUAGCAAGGUUAACCGAAUAGGGGAGCCGAAGGGAAACCGAGUCUUAACCGGGCGUUAAGUUGCAGGGUAUAGACCCGAAACCCGGUGAUCUAGCCAUGGGCAGGUUGAAGGUUGGGUAACACUAACUGGAGGACCGAACCGACUAAUGUUGAAAAAUUAGCGGAUGACUUGUGGCUGGGGGUGAAAGGCCAAUCAAACCGGGAGAUAGCUGGUUCUCCCCGAAAGCUAUUUAGGUAGCGCCUCGUGAAUUCAUCUCCGGGGGUAGAGCACUGUUUCGGCAAGGGGGUCAUCCCGACUUACCAACCCGAUGCAAACUGCGAAUACCGGAGAAUGUUAUCACGGGAGACACACGGCGGGUGCUAACGUCCGUCGUGAAGAGGGAAACAACCCAGACCGCCAGCUAAGGUCCCAAAGUCAUGGUUAAGUGGGAAACGAUGUGGGAAGGCCCAGACAGCCAGGAUGUUGGCUUAGAAGCAGCCAUCAUUUAAAGAAAGCGUAAUAGCUCACUGGUCGAGUCGGCCUGCGCGGAAGAUGUAACGGGGCUAAACCAUGCACCGAAGCUGCGGCAGCGACACUGUGUGUUGUUGGGUAGGGGAGCGUUCUGUAAGCCUGUGAAGGUGUACUGUGAGGUAUGCUGGAGGUAUCAGAAGUGCGAAUGCUGACAUAAGUAACGAUAAAGCGGGUGAAAAGCCCGCUCGCCGGAAGACCAAGGGUUCCUGUCCAACGUUAAUCGGGGCAGGGUGAGUCGACCCCUAAGGCGAGGCCGAAAGGCGUAGUCGAUGGGAAACAGGUUAAUAUUCCUGUACUUGGUGUUACUGCGAAGGGGGGACGGAGAAGGCUAUGUUGGCCGGGCGACGGUUGUCCCGGUUUAAGCGUGUAGGCUGGUUUUCCAGGCAAAUCCGGAAAAUCAAGGCUGAGGCGUGAUGACGAGGCACUACGGUGCUGAAGCAACAAAUGCCCUGCUUCCAGGAAAAGCCUCUAAGCAUCAGGUAACAUCAAAUCGUACCCCAAACCGACACAGGUGGUCAGGUAGAGAAUACCAAGGCGCUUGAGAGAACUCGGGUGAAGGAACUAGGCAAAAUGGUGCCGUAACUUCGGGAGAAGGCACGCUGAUAUGUAGGUGAAGUCCCUCGCGGAUGGAGCUGAAAUCAGUCGAAGAUACCAGCUGGCUGCAACUGUUUAUUAAAAACACAGCACUGUGCAAACACGAAAGUGGACGUAUACGGUGUGACGCCUGCCCGGUGCCGGAAGGUUAAUUGAUGGGGUCAGCGCAAGCGAAGCUCUUGAUCGAAGCCCCGGUAAACGGCGGCCGUAACUAUAACGGUCCUAAGGUAGCGAAAUUCCUUGUCGGGUAAGUUCCGACCUGCACGAAUGGCGUAAUGAUGGCCAGGCUGUCUCCACCCGAGACUCAGUGAAAUUGAACUCGCUGUGAAGAUGCAGUGUACCCGCGGCAAGACGGAAAGACCCCGUGAACCUUUACUAUAGCUUGACACUGAACAUUGAGCCUUGAUGUGUAGGAUAGGUGGGAGGCUUUGAAGUGUGGACGCCAGUCUGCAUGGAGCCGACCUUGAAAUACCACCCUUUAAUGUUUGAUGUUCUAACGUGGACCCGUGAUCCGGGUUGCGGACAGUGUCUGGUGGGUAGUUUGACUGGGGCGGUCUCCUCCUAAAGAGUAACGGAGGAGCACGAAGGUUGGCUAAUCCUGGUCGGACAUCAGGAGGUUAGUGCAAUGGCAUAAGCCAGCUUGACUGCGAGCGUGACGGCGCGAGCAGGUGCGAAAGCAGGUCAUAGUGAUCCGGUGGUUCUGAAUGGAAGGGCCAUCGCUCAACGGAUAAAAGGUACUCCGGGGAUAACAGGCUGAUACCGCCCAAGAGUUCAUAUCGACGGCGGUGUUUGGCACCUCGAUGUCGGCUCAUCACAUCCUGGGGCUGAAGUAGGUCCCAAGGGUAUGGCUGUUCGCCAUUUAAAGUGGUACGCGAGCUGGGUUUAGAACGUCGUGAGACAGUUCGGUCCCUAUCUGCCGUGGGCGCUGGAGAACUGAGGGGGGCUGCUCCUAGUACGAGAGGACCGGAGUGGACGCAUCACUGGUGUUCGGGUUGUCAUGCCAAUGGCACUGCCCGGUAGCUAAAUGCGGAAGAGAUAAGUGCUGAAAGCAUCUAAGCACGAAACUUGCCCCGAGAUGAGUUCUCCCUGACCCUUUAAGGGUCCUGAAGGAACGUUGAAGACGACGACGUUGAUAGGCCGGGUGUGUAAGCGCAGCGAUGCGUUGAGCUAACCGGUACUAAUGAACCGUGAGGCUUAACCUU